UCAGCCUCAAGGCCUCCUCCCACAAAGACUGAUGGCUCCGUGACUCUGGACAAUGGCAUCAUCCGAGUGAAGCUGGACCCAACUGGUCGCCUGACGUCCUUGGUCCUGGUGGCCUCUGGCAGGGAGGCCAUUGCUGAGGGCGCCGUGGGGAACCAGUUUGUGCUAUUUGAUGAUGUCCCCUUGUACUGGGAUGCAUGGGACGUCAUGGACUACCACCUGGAGACACGGUAUAGGCUGGGCAGCAUGUGGUAUAGGCUGGGCAGCAUGUGGGGAUGGUGGAGGUGGUGGGAACACAGGCUGCUCUGGAUCAGUAUGUCCACCCCUGUCCCAUAGGAAGCCUGUGCUGGGCCAGGCAGGGACCCUGGCAGUGGGCACCGAGGGCGGCCUGCGGGGCAGCGCCUGGUUCUUGCUACAGAUCAGCCCCAACAGUCGGCUUAGCCAGGAGGUCGUGCUGGACGUUGGCUGCCCCUAUGUCCGCUUCCACACCGAGGUACACUGGCAUGAGGCCCACAAGUUCCUGAAGGUGGAGUUCCCUGCUCGCGUGCGGAGUUCCCAGGCCACCUAUGAGAUCCAGUUUGGGCACCUGCAGCGACCUACCCACUACAAUACCUCUUGGGACUGGGCUCGAUUUGAGGUGUGGGCCCAUCGCUGGAUGGAUCUGUCGGAACACGGCUUUGGGCUGGCCCUGCUCAACGACUGCAAGUAUGGCGCGUCAGUGCGAGGCAGCAUCCUCAGCCUCUCGCUCUUGCGGGCGCCUAAAGCCCCGGACGCUACUGCUGACACGGGGCGCCACGAGUUCACCUACGCGCUGAUGCCGCACAAGG
This 824-nucleotide small RNA is filed under the name Pan troglodytes (chimpanzee). Its description in RNAcentral is "retained intron". Lineage: Eukaryota; Metazoa; Chordata; Mammalia; Primates; Hominidae. The record is from RNAcentral.